Molecule: small nucleolar RNA, 84 nt
Organism: Crocodylus porosus (Australian saltwater crocodile)
Lineage: Eukaryota; Metazoa; Chordata; Crocodylia; Crocodylidae
Gene: SNORD68
Product: small nucleolar RNA, C/D box 68
Source: Ensembl
UGAUGACACUGUCUCCAGAAUCUCUGCCAUCUGUGAUGACCACGUUUGAACCCUUUUCCAGCUGAUGACUGUAAUGGCUUCCUC